Molecule: ribosomal RNA, 731 nt
Filed under: Salmonella enterica subsp. enterica serovar Derby
Lineage: Bacteria; Pseudomonadati; Pseudomonadota; Gammaproteobacteria; Enterobacterales; Enterobacteriaceae
Description: partial 23S ribosomal RNA
Rfam family: Bacterial large subunit ribosomal RNA
Source: RNAcentral
GGGUUGUGAGGUUAAGCGACUAAGCGUACACGGUGGAUGCCCUGGCAGUCAGAGGCGAUGAAGGGCGUGCUAAUCUGCGAUAAGCGCCGGUAAGGUGAUAUGAACCGUUAUAACCGGCGAUACCCGAAUGGGGAAACCCAGUGUGACUCGUCACACUAUCAUUAACUGAAUCCAUAGGUUAAUGAGGCGAACCGGGGGAACUGAAACAUCUAAGUACCCCGAGGAAAAGAAAUCAACCGAGAUUCCCCCAGUAGCGGCGAGCGAACGGGGAGGAGCCCAGAGCCUGAAUCAGCAUGUGUGUUAGUGGAAGCGUCUGGAAAGGCGCGCGAUACAGGGUGACAGCCCCGUACACAAAAGCGCAUGUGCUGUGAGCUCGAUGAGUAGGGCGGGACACGUGGUAUCCUGUCUGAAUAUGGGGGGACCAUCCUCCAAGGCUAAAUACUCCUGACUGACCGAUAGUGAACCAGUACCGUGAGGGAAAGGCGAAAAGAACCCCGGCGAGGGGAGUGAAAAAGAACCUGAAACCGUGUACGUACAAGCAGUGGGAGCCCCACCACUAAGCCAGUGGUGAACUCCACAUACGCAUCCUUUGCUGAGGAUACGGUUAACGGAGCGCAAGCGACGUUCAACCGCAAAAGAAGCAGAGGGGGCUUAGUGGUGGGGUGACUGCGUACCUUUUGUAUAAUGGGUCAGCGACUUAUAUUCUGUAGCAAGGUUAACCGUAUAGGGGA